This 60-nucleotide transfer RNA is filed under the name Coleolaelaps cf. liui XFX-2019. Its description in RNAcentral is "tRNA-Leu". The record is from RNAcentral. Lineage: Eukaryota; Metazoa; Arthropoda; Arachnida; Mesostigmata; Laelapidae.
UCUAAUUUGGCAGAUUAAUGUAUUAAAUUUAGAAUUUAACAAUGAUUUUAUCAAUUAGAA